RNAcentral lists this small RNA (63 nucleotides) under Curtobacterium sp. ER1/6. RNAcentral describes it as "Pseudomonas sRNA P10". The record is from RNAcentral. Lineage: Bacteria; Bacillati; Actinomycetota; Actinomycetes; Micrococcales; Microbacteriaceae.
CAUGGGUGAAUCCGUCGGCACGCUGCUCGAACUCGACGUCACCGCGAUCGCCCACGGCGGCAU